UACGGGGGGUGCGAGCGUUGUCCGGAAUCACUGGGCGUAAAGGGCGCGUAGGUGGUUUGAUAAGGGUGUGGUGAAAGCCCGGGGCUCAACCCCGGGUCUGCCGUGCCGACUGUCAAACUCGAGGGCUGUAGAGGCAGACGGAAUUCCGGGUGUAGCGGUGGAAUGCGUAGAGAUCCGGAGGAACACCGGUGGCGAAGGCGGUUCUCUGGGCCUUACCUGACGCUGAGGAGCGAAAGCGUGGGGAGCAAACAGG
This 253-nucleotide ribosomal RNA is filed under the name uncultured bacterium. RNAcentral's name for it is "partial 16S ribosomal RNA". It matches the Rfam family "Bacterial small subunit ribosomal RNA", at positions 524 to 776 of the family's 1533-position model. The record is from RNAcentral.